RNA transcript from Vicugna pacos (alpaca), 1717 nucleotides. RefSeq lists it as uncharacterized. NCBI's taxonomy places the organism in Eukaryota, Metazoa, Chordata, Mammalia, Artiodactyla, Camelidae. The record is from RefSeq and is a predicted model, not a curated record.
CGGUCGGGGGUGGGGUUCUGCAGCCGGCUGCCCCCUCCCGGGCCUGAGACUGGGUUCCCGGAAGGCCGCGCGGCGUUAGACGCUCAGUGCCUGUUCAGCGCGCCAGUGGCCGGAGGGUGAAUUAACGCAUUACUAGAAUAUUCAGGGAGUGUGGCUUCCGGUUUCUUAUUGUAUCACCUGCUCUAAAACACUGUUGGGCCCAUGCGAAGCACUGAGUCUAUGUGUGACUAUUGCUCUGAUGGCCAGUUUCAAACUGCCGACCUUGGGCAUCUGAAGCAAUGUGAAAUGUCUUGAGUGCAGAGUUGGGAACAGCAUUCCCACCCUAUGGGUACAACAGACGGCGAUGGACAUCCCACCCGUCACUUCCAGGAUCCCAUGAUGGCUGGAGACAGAGACUCUCCCGCUGGCCUCGCAGGAGGGAACAGCCACGUUGUGAAAGCCGCUGGAGAGGGGAGCUUGGCCCGGGACUGCGGAGGCCUCUGGGACCUGAGGGCAACCAGCAGCCCAGGAGAAACCAGGCCGACACCUCGACUGCGGCCACGCGGGACCCUGAGCAGAGGACCCGCUGAGCCGCGCCCGGACCCCUGCCCUGCAGACCCCGAGGCACAGCUGAGCUGACCAAGGCACUCCCCUCACUGACCGCUGCUCUGUCACCUCUGAAAACGUGUCGUCUAACACUUCAGAGCUCCGAUGAGAUCGCCAUUAGCUGUGUCAUCAUGUCCCCUCUGCGCUGCGCCCCAGACACACUCAGGGCCCAACUCGGCCUCCACGGAUGCUGCCACGCUCCUGGCUUGAAUUUGCACGGAUGCUCCCACCCUGAUGGGCACUCAGCAGUCAUCAGAUGCAUGAAAGGACGGAGCUUAGGGCCUGGGGAAAGGAACCCCCAGGACAACCUUCCGAUUACCCCCCAUUCAACCUCGGGGACAAAUGCAGCCCCAGGAACCAUCCAGCCGACGUGGGAUCCGUGUGGGCAUGGUUUCCAGGCCUGGCAGACUGGCUCGCUCUCCUUCCAGUUUAGCUGUGCCUCGUCACCUGCCUCUCACUACCCAAGCCCGCCUCGCUCCUGUGCAGUCACAGGAGCCGCGCUUGGCCUGCCCAGGGCUCAGCCAAGCCUGGCUCAUGGCUGUGUCCCCGUCCCCAGGUCUGCGCCUGUCUCCCGGGCACACCAGCCUGGCGGCCACGCUCCUUUGGUGGAGGAGCCCUGCUUCCACCCCGCUUCUGGGGGUCUGCACAUCGCUGGCCCUGCCCUUGCGCUUUGCUCUGCGGGAUUUCAUAAGAGAGAACCAGGCCUCUGGGCCCCAGCGUUCUGUGGCCCCCGGUGCCCAGCUGAUGGGCAGGCUGCCGAGAGGGGAGCCUGAUGCACCCUGCGCUGCCCGGCUGCAGGGCCAAAUCUGUCCGGGAGGCUGGCCCAGCCAAGACGAAAGGGGGCAGCUGCCCACAUGGGACCCCCAGCCCGUUUUCUGCAAACAAAGGCCCGGCAGCCUGGAGCCCACGCUGCAACUCUGUUGAAACCUCGAGGUGACUCCCUAUUAACCACUCCCUUUGGUGCUUCAAGACCAAAAAGGGAGUAAAGCAAACCUCUUUCUAAGCAGGAAGAGCUUUCCAGAGCAAAGGGCGUCCCCCAGCCCUGCUGCCAGCGGAGCACGAGAAGGCCCUGGGCCUCCCAGACUCACACAGCUGGGAGCUGCCUGGCGCGGGGUCUGGACCAGAGGCAGGG